RNAcentral lists this ribosomal RNA (540 nucleotides) under Pugnatrypaea pugnatrix. RNAcentral describes it as "partial large subunit ribosomal RNA". It matches the Rfam family "Bacterial large subunit ribosomal RNA", at positions 1830 to 2625 of the family's 2925-position model. Lineage: Eukaryota; Metazoa; Arthropoda; Malacostraca; Decapoda; Callianassidae. The record is from RNAcentral.
GUCUGUUUGAUUUAAUCUUCAGUCUAGCCUGCCCAUUGAUUUUUUUAAAAGGCCGCGGUAUUAUGACCGUGCGAAGGUAGCAUAAUAAUUAGUCUUUUAAUUGAAGACUGGAAUGAAGGGCUGGACAAAAAAUAAGCUGUCUCAAAACUAUAAAUUGAAUUUAACUUUUAAGUGAAAAGGCUUAAAUAAUCUUAAAAGACGACAAGACCCUAUAAAACUUUAUAUUAAACAUUAAUAGUUUAUUAAUUUUUAAGUUUAACUAAAACUUUUAAUUUAUAUAUUAUGUUGGGGCGACAAAAGCACAAAUUAAUUAACUGCUUUCUUUUUUAUACAAUAAUAUUUGCUUAAACGAUCCUUUUUAAGAUUUUAAGAAAAAGUUACUUUAGGGAUAACAGCGUAAUUUUUUUUGAGAGUUCUUAUCGACAAAAAAGUUUGCGACCUCGAUGUUGAAUUAAAGUUCCAUUAUAGUGCAGCAACUAUAAAGAGUAGGUCUGUUCGACCUUUAAAACUUUACAUGAUUUGAGUUCAAACCGGUGUAAG